CGUAAUAUACGCCACCUCGCGACAGUGAGCUGAAAGCCGCGUCGCAACUGCUCUUUAACAAUUUAUCAGACAAUCUGUGUGGGCACUCGAAGAUACGGAUUCUUAACGUCGCAAGACGAAAAAUGAANGGGAUAACUACUGGAAACGGUAGCUAAUACCGCAUAACGUCGCAAGACCAAAGAGGGGGACCUUCGGGCCUCUUGCCAUCGGAUGUGCCCAGAUGGGAUUAGCUAGUAGGUGGGGUAACGGCUCACCUAGGCGACGAUCCCUAGCUGGUCUGAGAGGAUGACCAGCCACACUGGAACUGAGACACGGUCCAGACUCCUACGGGAGGCAGCAGUGGGGAAUAUUGCACAAUGGGCGCAAGCCUGAUGCAGCCAUGCCGCGUGUAUGAAGAAGGCCUUCGGGUUGUAAAGUACUUUCAGCGGGGAGGAAGGGAGUAAAGUUAAUACCUUUGCUCAUUGACGUUACCCGCAGAAGAAGCACCGGCUAACUCCGUGCCAGCAGCCGCGGUAAUACGGAGGGUGCAAGCGUUAAUCGGAAUUACUGGGCGUAAAGCGCACGCAGGCGGUUUGUUAAGUCAGAUGUGAAAUCCCCGGGCUCAACCUGGGAACUGCAUCUGAUACUGGCAAGCUUGAGUCUCGUAGAGGGGGGUAGAAUUCCAGGUGUAGCGGUGAAAUGCGUAGAGAUCUGGAGGAAUACCGGUGGCGAAGGCGGCCCCCUGGACGAAGACUGACGCUCAGGUGCGAAAGCGUGGGGAGCAAACAGGAUUAGAUCCCCUGGUAGUCCACGCCGUAAACGAUGUCGACUUGGAGGUUGUGCCCUUGAGGCGUGGCUUCCGGAGCUAACGCGUUAAGUCGACCGCCUGGGGAGUACGGCCGCAAGGUUAAAACUCAAAUGAAUUGACGGGGGCCCGCACAAGCGGUGGAGCAUGUGGUUUAAUUCGAUGCAACGCGAAGAACCUUACCUGGUCUUGACAUCCACNGUGAGACAGGUGCUGCAUGGCUGUCGUCAGCUCGUGUUGUGAAAUGUUGGGUUAAGUCCCGCAACGAGCGCAACCCUUAUCCUUUGUUGCCAGCGGUCCGGCCGGGAACUCAAAGGAGACUGCCAGUGAUAAACUGGAGGAAGGUGGGGAUGACGUCAAGUCAUCAUGGCCCUUACGACCAGGGCUACACACGUGCUACAAUGGCGCAUACAAAGAGAAGCGACCUCGCGAGAGCAAGCGGACCUCAUAAAGUGCGUCGUAGUCCGGAUUGGAGUCUGCAACUCGAUUCCAUGAAGUCGGAAUCGCUAGUAAUCGUGGAUCAGAAUGCCACGGUGAAUACGUUCCCGGGCCUUGUACACACCGCCCGUCACACCAUGGGAGUGAGUUGCAAAAGAAGUAGGUAGCUUAACCUUCGGGAGGGCGCUUACCACUUUGUGAUUCAUGACUGGGGUGAAGUCGUAACAAGGUAACCGUAGGGGAACCUGCGGUUG
RNAcentral lists this ribosomal RNA (1476 nucleotides) under Escherichia coli. RNAcentral describes it as "bacterial SSU rRNA". It matches the Rfam family "Bacterial small subunit ribosomal RNA". The record is from RNAcentral. Lineage: Bacteria; Pseudomonadati; Pseudomonadota; Gammaproteobacteria; Enterobacterales; Enterobacteriaceae.